CUAAAACGAUGUCAACUAGUUCUUGGGGUCUUAAACGAUUUCAGUACUGNNGCNAACGCGUGAAGUUGACCGCCNNGGAGUACGGCCGCCAGGUUGAAACUCAAAGGAAUUGACGCGGACCCGCACAAGCGGUGGAUGAUGUGGUUUAAUUCGAUGCAACGCGAAAAACCUUACCCACCUUUGACAUGUACGGGGUCCUUUAGAGAUAGAGGAGUGCUCGAAAGAGAGCCGUAACACAGGUGCUGCAUGGCUGUCGUCAGCUCGUGUCGUGAGAUGUUGGGUUAAGUCCCGCAACGAGCGCAACCCUUGCCAUUAGUUGCUACGAAAGGGCACUCUAAUGGGACUGCCGGUGACAAACCGGAGGAAGGUGGGGAUGACGUCAAGUCCUCAUGGCCCUUAUAGGUGGGGCUACACACGUCAUACAAUGGCUGGUACAAAGGGUUGCCAACCCGCGAGGGGGAGCUAAUCCCAUAAAGCCAGUCGUAGUCCGGAUCGCAGUCUGCAACUCGACUGCGUGAAGUCGGAAUCGCUAGUAAUCGUGGAUCAGAAUGUCACGGUGAAUACGUUCCCGGGUCUUGUACACACCGCCCGUCACACCAUGGGAGCGGGUCUCGCCCAGAAAGUAGGUAGCCCUAANNNU
Molecule: ribosomal RNA, 640 nt
Filed under: Comamonas aquatica
Lineage: Bacteria; Pseudomonadati; Pseudomonadota; Betaproteobacteria; Burkholderiales; Comamonadaceae
Description: bacterial SSU rRNA
Rfam family: Bacterial small subunit ribosomal RNA
Source: RNAcentral